Molecule: long non-coding RNA, 1044 nt
Filed under: Crocodylus porosus (Australian saltwater crocodile)
Lineage: Eukaryota; Metazoa; Chordata; Crocodylia; Crocodylidae
Description: lncRNA (ENSCPRG00005006762.1)
Source: RNAcentral
CUACAUGCAGUAUUUUUCCACCCAAAGAAGAAAAAAUUAAACAUUUGGGUUCGGAUGUGUUGGAAGGCAGUAAUGACAGCAGUGGAAAAUGGAUUAUAGGAGAAAAGUGUGUGUUAAAGAAUCACGAAAGGGAUAACCAGAAAGAUUUCAUCUUGGUUUUAAAGGCUGAAAACUCCAAAGAAAGCAAGGUUAUUACAGAUCAUUUCCAGAAACAGGCUGGAAAGAGUUGCAACCUCUCCUCUACUGAGUCUCAGAAAAGAAAAGAUGACCUUGAAGAUCUCAUGUUAAAUUUUACAUUUUUGAAGAGAGAGAGGGAUCAGACAGAUCAGCCAACAUCCAAGCAUGAAGAAGGGGGUGACAGGACUUUUGAGGUGAGAAAACCUUGCCCUGAUUGUGCAAGCCUCAGUUAUCCAGAUGUAAACUGUUGCAACAGAUGUGGCUGUGCUUUAACUGGACUAAUACAGUCCAGGGAAGACAAUAUGGAACCUAAAUGCAAGAUGACCCUUGGCAAUGUGACCAAUGAACAGAACAGGUGUUUUUUCAAUCCAGUCAUCAAAUCUGAACAAGUCUUGGAAAGCAGCUCAGAAGAAUCCCCCCAAACAAGCAAAAAUAGUGAUGAUGGCAAAGAGUUCUGCUGGGAGGAUGAACCACUGUUAGAUUCACACCGUGAUAUAGGUGUUUUGGAAAAAUAUUAUUUUUAUUUGAAUUAUUUGAAUAAAACCAGAAGUCUUCAUCCCAGAGAGGGAAAGGAAUCUUUUCCUUUUCAAGAAUUAAAUGGCUUUUCUAAAGAACAAAGGUUUGCCAAAUGUCUCAAGAGUAAGGUGGUUGAACAAAAGGAGACGGAAGAAACUAACAGUGAUUGUAGAGAUUCUCAACUAAACUGUGUUAGUUCAGACUGUAAGUAUUCUGAACUAAACAGAAAUGCUGAUGCUAUAGAGCAAGAGGAAAGCCAAGUUGAAGAGCUAGAAAUGCUUGAAACAGAAUCUGUUUCAGAAAGUGACUCUCUCAGUAAAAUAAAGAAGAAAAACAGCCAAGUAUUAAUAG